This 2606-nucleotide long non-coding RNA is filed under the name Gallus gallus (chicken). The record is from RNAcentral. Lineage: Eukaryota; Metazoa; Chordata; Aves; Galliformes; Phasianidae.
AAGGAAAGGGUGCUUCUGUGGAGAUCCCUCCUUUUGGAGUGUUUAGUGAGCCCUGAUCAUUGGAUGGGUGACCACAAGUCUUCUGCAAGUGCUGAAAAGCAGUUUGCUGCCCCUGCAUCACCAGCUGUGCAGACACGUUUAGUACCUGUGCUCGACGGACGGUGAGCAGCCACCUUGUGCUGAGUGGUACCUGGGGGGGAGACUGAGCAUGCAGCCUCUGCUAGGUGCCAUGCAUGCCUUAUUCUGAUGUAUACAAAGGCUGAUGGGAUCCGGCCCAAAGGUGUAGGUGGGAGAAUCAUUACAAGAUGAUGUGCUGGGCUCUGCUUUAGAAGCUGGGAUUUAUGUUGGAGCUCUUCCUUCUGACCUGGAGCUGCCUUGCAAGCUGCCAUUGCUCUGACUUUCUCAAUGGAACCUCAUGGGUGGUGAAGUGAGUUGAGAAAAUCCAAACCAAAACUGCUUAAAGAUGCCUCUUCUGCCCUGCCUCGUGUUGGAAGAACUCCUCAUAUCUGUGCCUGCCUCUUCUCCAUGGUGGUUUUAACACCAGGACUGCCACACCACUCUGGCUGAGGCAACAAGGAAGGCCACAACCUAACUGUAUUUUAAAUAACCACGUAAUGCUUCAGUAUCUCAACUACUUCUUGUGAAGCAGCUUCUAUCAUAUCUGAAAGAUGAGUUAUAAUUUGGAGAUUGGCCUUGGUGAUCUCCAGAGGUCCCUUUCAACCCUUAUGGUUCUGUGGUUAUCAGUCGUGGGUAAGCAGAACUGGCAGCUGAAUGAGGUACUGGGGCUUAAACGAUGCACUGAGCUUGGGAAUGGUCUGAGGGCUGGCACACCUCUACAGCAGUGCUUUCUAUUUGUGUUCUUCAAGCACGUUUUUGCUGGAGAACACACAGGGCCACACAGUGAUGGAUGGGGUGUGCUGUCAUUUUGAGUCACCGGCAUUUUGGGAUGGAAUAGGAAAGCUCUUUAAAAGCAGCCAGUGUCACAUUUGCAGCUUCAUUUUCAUGGGCGAAUAUUGCUUUGAGACUAAUGUAAGCUCUGUGUAUUAUUUGGUACUGAAAGUGUGCUAUGGAAUUUCAUUUCAAAGUACUCUCAGGGUCAUUUAUGCGCAUAUAAUGGGUGGAUAAGUCAAACAAAGAGCCCUUCUCUGCCACUCUGGGCACCAGGUCACGCUGAGGCAUCCAUGCUGGGAGCCAGAAUAGAGACCAGCACAAGUUUGUUGCUUCACUAUCCUGCUUUCUGCCCCCAAUACCCAUCUGCUCAGCUCUGCUUCUGCAGAGCAUGGAGGCAGUGGCUGAGGUUUGUGAUACUGAGGAGGAGGGGAAGGUGGUGCAGUCAAUGGUGAGGGCUGAUGUGUUCUGGGGGCAGCUGGUAGGAAGCUGGCAUCAGUGUGCUCUGUGAGCCCACCCUGAGCUGGCAUUCCAUUGAGAGCCUUUUUAGAGGCUGUGUGUUGUUUUGUCUAAUAGAAAACAAGCUUUGCAAAUGAGCUGCUGAGCACUUUAGCAGGGAGUAUUUUUUUUUUUGCAUGUUUGCAAUAUUCAGUUCAGGCAUUGACAGCUGUGAACUUCACAAUGAGACUGACACUUGAGAUCUGUGUAAAGGUCAAUUUUUUAAUUGUGCCUUAUAGAUAAAAGAAAUAUCUACAUCGAUAUAGUCUAAUCGCAUUGAUUUCAGCACGGAGUUUUCAAUUAUUAUUCAGAAUUCUCUGUUAUCUCGUUGCAGUCCCACAGCCUUAGCAGGCAGUGCAAUGCUCCAUGAGAUAACCUUUAACUCAUGCUGCUGGGUCAAAAGUGAGUUGUGAUGAGUACUCCCUGCCCUUCCACAGUGAACUGUCUGGGUAAGGAAGGCAUCUGUUGCUGCAGUGCAGAUCAUGAUGCACUGAGGAUGCCUUCAGUUCUGAUACGGUAUAUUGGCUGUUUGCAGGUCUGCUGGUGUACAAAUAAGCCAAGAUCUCUUCCAUGCAGGAAGCUGCACUGCAGGGCAGUGGGAGGAAUGACUGUGAUUAUCCCAUUACAAAGAGAAGGAUGUCUUAACAUUGGAAUCAUUGCUCGUGUUUUAGAGUGACCUUGUAAAGUAUGGUUCAUCACAGGGGGAUCGAUACUAAAUAAUAAUGCUUCUGCUUAGUUCCAGUAAAUACCUUGGGUUUAUCUAGGAGGUAUCACUCAGCUGUUUCCAACAGCUUCUAUGUGAUCUGCUGAAGCCAAAACACAUCUGCUUCUAAUAGGUGUGCCUGUAGGACUCUGCUGUUAGUGGUGUUCAGGGUAGCCAGAGGUACUCCCUGUUGUCUCAGUAGGAAACCUUUCAGUGUAUGAAGGACAAUGUUUCCAUGAAAAUAUCAAUACAAUGGUGGGCACACCUCCAUUGACAGUUCACAGCCCAGUAUUUCCUCCGGGCUGUUGGAGUGUGGUAUAAUGUCAAAGGUCUGCCUGUCCCUUGCUGGACAUGGGAUGGAGGUGCUUGGGGCUGCUAUGGGCUGGGCAGCCCAACAUCAUGUAUGUAUAUAUGGCCAGGCAGGAUGUGGCUCUGGGCAGCCUGGUCUGGUGGUUGGUGACCCUGCACGUAGCAGGGGGUUGGAACUGGAUGAUCUUUGAGAUCUUUUUCAACCCAG